CCGUUCGGGGGUAAACGGACAGAGCCCGUGAAUCCGGGCGCGCGGAAUUCAGGACCGACGGCGCGUCGUUCAUCGUCGCGCGUCGAUUCGAUAUUUCCGCCGCCGACCGUAACUGGUGCGGACGUCGCGACCCGUUCGCCGUUGGUCUUACGGAGCGCGCAACGAGUUCGUUGCGCGCGUCGCACGUUUCGGCGUUGCGGCGCGUGCGCGAUGGCGCGUCUCUCCCGGGCCAGCGUGUGUAUAUAUACACGUAUGUCGGACGGUAAGUGUAACGCGCGGGUAAUCGCGGCCGCCGAACGAUCGGCGCGUGUCAAAGCGCGUCGGUCGGGCGUGGUCGUCGACGCCGGUCAGCGACGAAUCUUCGGGCCUCUUUCCGACCCGUCUUGAAACACGGACCAAGGAGUCUAACGUGCGCGCGAGUCGCGGGGUAUUCUCGAGUCGUAACGAGGCUCGUGAUAAUACGAAACCCGUUUAUACGUACGUUGUACGAAGGCGUAAUGAAAGUGAGGUGGCCUUUUAGCGUCACUCGGGAAGACGGUGCAUCCGAGUACACGUUUUAUUUCUCGGUCGUACGGGUACCGAGGCCGGACACCCGCAUUCCCAGGGCGUCCCGCUCGUCCGACGGGAGCGCGGACGCGCGAUUGUUUCGGCGGUCGCGCGUCGGUUCUCGCCGAACUGGGGCGCACCUUUAGCGUGCACGUUGGUACCCGAAAGAUGGUGAACUAUGCCCGGCCAGGAUGAAGUCAGGGGAAACCCUGAU
RNAcentral lists this ribosomal RNA (760 nucleotides) under Metaceronema sp. S8A139. RNAcentral's name for it is "partial large subunit ribosomal RNA". It matches the Rfam family "Eukaryotic large subunit ribosomal RNA", at positions 405 to 868 of the family's 3401-position model. Lineage: Eukaryota; Metazoa; Arthropoda; Insecta; Hemiptera; Coccidae. The record is from RNAcentral.